This 991-nucleotide long non-coding RNA is filed under the name Mus spicilegus (steppe mouse). RNAcentral describes it as "lncRNA (ENSMSIG00000006932.1)". Lineage: Eukaryota; Metazoa; Chordata; Mammalia; Rodentia; Muridae. The record is from RNAcentral.
GGGCAAUGUUAGUACAUCAAGACUUCACUCCUGUUGUUGCGAAAGUUGAAUGACUCCUGUGGACAUCAAGGGACCCAGCAGGUUCUCGCUCUACGUGACAUGAGUCAUGUUGUUUUCCUCCUGUGAUGUUUUACAUGCAAACCCUGGGUACUUAAUCCCAAGCCAAUGACUCUUGAAAGUCUUCAAUGCACUAUGACUUGAGAAGAGAACUCUGGGAAGCGUCCUGUGCUGCUUUUACUAAAACACACCAAAGGUGCUGUGAGGAGAGCUCGCAGCUAAGAAGAGGUUCCUAAUGGCUGGAGAUUUGGCUUAGCUGUCAAACGCACUUGUUCUUCUAGAGGACACAGGCUGGAUUCCUAACACCCACAUGGGUAACUGACAGCAUAUCUAAGUGCAGUUCUAGGGGAUCCAACACUCUGCUCUCUAUCAGAUAUAGAUUUGUGUGGGGGAACAUCUAAAGCAGUGUGUCAGGUAGAGAAUAUAAAAAUAUUGGGAUUGUUUUAACCUGAGCAGCUUUAAAUUCCUCCCAGUUACCAUGGGCAGCAUACAUCGCCAUAUUGGUCAGAAUUGAGAUGCAGAGAAAAAUUUUGCUGUGACAGACUAGGCUGUUGGCUAUCACAUGAUGAAGUAAAAGUUUCACAGUGCUGAGAAAGGGAAGGGGAUUAGUAAGAGAAAACUCAGAGCCUCUGACUCAUGGGUUUUUCUACCACAGGAGGCCAAAGGAUCUUGUUUCCAUUCUUGUCCCAUCAAUUAUCCCACCACCAGCAAAGGAACAGAAGAGGAAACGACACCAGCAGUUUCCAUGGUAAUCAGUUGAUGGAAUUAAAUCAAGCAGGAAACCUCUUCAGAAUGCAAAGUCAUCUUGCAAAACAGAGAGGCUUGAAAUAUCCAGGAAGUGUGUCAUGGCCAAAUGAAAGGAAUGGAGAUGUGAAUACCUCCAUAAUGUAAACUCCCCAACCCUAAAAUAAACACUCAAAAGCUAGCCUUUGUC